Molecule: ribosomal RNA, 236 nt
Filed under: uncultured bacterium
Lineage: Bacteria
Description: partial 16S ribosomal RNA
Rfam family: Bacterial small subunit ribosomal RNA
Source: RNAcentral
GAUCAUGGCUCAGGACGAACGCUGGCGGCGCGCCUAACACAUGCAAGUCGAACGGAGCUGAGAGGAGCUUGCUUUUCUUAGCUUAGUGGCGAACGGGUGAGUAACGCGUGAGUAACCUGCCCUGGAGUGGGGGACAGCAGUUGGAAACGACUGCUAAUACCGCAUAAGCCCACGGUAUCGCAUGGUACUGAGGGAAAAGGAUUUAUUCGCUUCAGGAUGGACUCGCGUCCAAUUAG